Molecule: ribosomal RNA, 230 nt
Filed under: uncultured bacterium
Lineage: Bacteria
Description: partial 16S ribosomal RNA
Rfam family: Bacterial small subunit ribosomal RNA
Source: RNAcentral
UACGUAGGUGACCAGCGUUGUCCGGAUUUACUGGGCGUAAAGAGCGCGCAGGCGGUCGUUCAAGUCGAGUGUGAAAGCCCCCGGCUCAACUGGGGAGGGUCAUUCGAUACUGAUCGACUUGAAGGCAGGAGAGGGAAGUGGAAUUCCCGGUGUAGUGGUGAAAUGCGUAGAUAUCGGGAGGAGCACCAGUGGCGAAGGCGACUUCCUGGCCUGUUCUUGACGCUGAGGCG